GACGAACGCUGGCGGCGUGCUUAACACAUGCAAGUCGAACGAUGACGACCGAGCUUGCUCGGUCUGAGUAGUGGCGAACGGGUGAGUAACACGUGAGCAACCGGCCCUUCACGCUGGGAUAACCUCGGGAAGUCUGGGCUAAUAGCGGAUAUGAGCUCCUGUGGCAUGGUGGGCGUUGGAAAGUUUAUCGGUGCAGGGUGGGCUCGGGGCGUAUCAGUUUGUUGGUGGGGUAGGGGUAAACCAAGGCUAUGACGGGUAGCCGGCCUGAGAGGGCGACCGGCCACGCUGGGACUGAGCCACGGCCCAGACUACUACGGGAGGCAGCAGUGGGGAAUAUUGCACAAUGGGAGAAAGCCUGAUGCAGCGACGCCGCGUGGGGGAUGACGGCAUUCGGGUUGUAAACCUCUUUCAGCAGGGAAGAAGCGAAAGUGACGGUACCUGCAGAAGAAGCGCCGGCUAACUACGUG
RNAcentral lists this ribosomal RNA (467 nucleotides) under uncultured bacterium. RNAcentral describes it as "partial 16S ribosomal RNA". It matches the Rfam family "Bacterial small subunit ribosomal RNA", at positions 28 to 507 of the family's 1533-position model. The record is from RNAcentral.